GUAAAAGUUUAAUACAUCAAAUGAAUAAAUAAAAUAAUAUAUAAACAAUAAAAAUAAAUACAAAUAACACAUUGUAUUAAAGGCGCAAAACUGUCCAUCAAUUCAAGUUUUCGCGGUAUUUACACUUCUCCGGAAAAUUGGAUCUGUCCGCAAAUGUUCAAGGUGUUCUCAUACAACGUCUUUCAAGCGUUUGAUAAUGGCCCUGAAAUGAUACACAAUAAAACUCGAUUAAUAAUAUUAAAAAGUCCAGCGUGUUCCCGGAG
This 263-nucleotide long non-coding RNA is filed under the name Mytilus galloprovincialis (Mediterranean mussel). Lineage: Eukaryota; Metazoa; Mollusca; Bivalvia; Mytilida; Mytilidae. The record is from RNAcentral.